GCUGGGCAUGGUGGCACAUGCCUGUAAUCCCAGCAGCUGGGGAGGCUGAGAGAGGGGAAUCACGAGUUCAAAGCCAGCCUCAGCAACUGUGAGAUGCUUAGUAACUCAGUGAGAUCCUGUCUCUA
Molecule: small RNA, 125 nt
Filed under: Marmota monax (woodchuck)
Lineage: Eukaryota; Metazoa; Chordata; Mammalia; Rodentia; Sciuridae
Source: RNAcentral